AUUAACUUAAAGGAAUUGACGGAAGGGCACCACCAGGCGUGGAGCCUGCGGCUUAAUUUGACUCAACACGGGGAAACUCACCAGGUCCAGACACAAUAAGGAUUGACAGAUUGAGAGCUCUUUCUUGAUUUUGUGGGUGGUGGUGCAUGGCCGUUCUUAGUUGGUGGAGUGAUUUGUCUGCUUAAUUGCGAUAACGAACGAGACCUUAACCUGCUAAAUAGCCCGGCUAGCUUUGGCUGGUCGCUGGCUUCUUAGAGGGACUAUCGGCUCAAGCCGAUGGAAGUUUGAGGCAAUAACAGGUCUGUGAUGCA
RNAcentral lists this ribosomal RNA (311 nucleotides) under Sclerotinia sclerotiorum. Its description in RNAcentral is "SSU rRNA". It matches the Rfam family "Eukaryotic small subunit ribosomal RNA", at positions 1138 to 1471 of the family's 1831-position model. The record is from RNAcentral. Lineage: Eukaryota; Fungi; Ascomycota; Leotiomycetes; Helotiales; Sclerotiniaceae.